Molecule: ribosomal RNA, 253 nt
Filed under: uncultured bacterium
Lineage: Bacteria
Description: partial 16S ribosomal RNA
Rfam family: Bacterial small subunit ribosomal RNA
Source: RNAcentral
UACGUAGGUGGCAAGCGUUGUCCGGAUUUACUGGGUGUAAAGGGCGUGCAGCCGGGCUGACAAGUCAGAUGUGAAAUCCCGCGGCUCAACCGCGGAACUGCAUUUGAAACUGUCAGUCUUGAGUACCGGAGAGGUCAUCGGAAUUCCUUGUGUAGCGGUGGAAUGCGUAGAUAUAAGGAAGAACACCAGUGGCGAAGGCGGAUGACUGGACGGCAACUGACGGUGAGGCGCGAAAGCGUGGGGAGCAAACAGG